RNAcentral lists this non-coding RNA (21 nucleotides) under Caenorhabditis elegans. The record is from RNAcentral. Lineage: Eukaryota; Metazoa; Nematoda; Chromadorea; Rhabditida; Rhabditidae.
UAUUCUCUUUUUAUUCUCAGG